GAUUAAGUUAUUAAGGGCGCACGGUGGAUGCCUUGGCACUAGAAGCCGAUGAAGGACGUUACUAACGACGAUAUGCUUUGGGGAGCUGUAAGUAAGCUUUGAUCCAGAGAUUUCCGAAUGGGGAAACCCAGCAUGAGUUAUGUCAUGUUAUCGAUAUGUGAAUACAUAGCAUAUCAGAAGGCACACCCGGAGAACUGAAACAUCUUAGUACCCGGAGGAAGAGAAAGAAAAUUCGAUUCCCUUAGUAGCGGCGAGCGAAACGGGAAGAGCCCAAACCAACAAGCUUGCUUGUUGGGGUUGUAGGACACUCUAUACGGAGUUACAAAGGACGACAUUAGACGAAUCAUCUGGAAAGAUGAAUCAAAGAAGGUAAUAAUCCUGUAGUCGAAAAUGUUGUCUCUCUUGAGUGGAUCCUGAGUACGACGGAGCACGUGAAAUU
RNAcentral lists this ribosomal RNA (439 nucleotides) under Staphylococcus aureus. Its description in RNAcentral is "partial 23S ribosomal RNA". It matches the Rfam family "Bacterial large subunit ribosomal RNA", at positions 1 to 433 of the family's 2925-position model. Lineage: Bacteria; Bacillati; Bacillota; Bacilli; Caryophanales; Staphylococcaceae. The record is from RNAcentral.